UACGCACCUCGAGCUCCGCUCCCCUCAGCCUGGAGGCGGCGGCGGCGGCCCCUGCCGGUCGGUGGGAGCAGGCUCGACCCUCCCCGCUCCCUUCUCCCCCUCCCCGUGUUGCGCAGCCGCCGCCCGAGCCGCUCCGCCCGGUCCCGCAGCGGCCGCGGCGCCGCCGCCUCUCCCCUCACAGCCGGCCCCGCGCCGGGGGGCUCCGGAAAAUGGCGCCCGGGGAGAGGCAGCGGCCCCCGCGCCCCGCUCCCUGACUUUUGGGGAGCUGAGGGGGCGGCCUCGAGGGCCGGGGGGGCUCUGCUGGCCCCAGGGGGUGAGGGACCACCCUCAGGUUUUUGUCCCUGUCUUCAAGGAGCUCUCUGCUUGCUCCACGGAUGUCGCCUCCAGCCCCCCUCGGCACAGCUAAGCUGUAAAAGAGCUUUAUGUCCAUGUUCAGGAGUUUGUUCUCCACACUAUUACCUCCUGUCAUGGGUUUUUGUGCUUGUGGCCAGCAGAACUAAUUAUCCCAGCCUGAUCCAUUAACAUGGUCCGAGCCAAGCUAAGAUGUCUGCAGAAUCAGUCACCACAAAAAACAGGAGUGAUGAUGAUGGUCGCUCUGAAUUUCAGUGCAAGUCACUCGUCCCUACCAGGAACAGGAGGAUCUAUGGGUCUGCAUGGGUUCAGAAAUGAUGGAUCAUCUUUGGACACCGUUGCUGUCAAACAUGCAGACGAGAAGUAGUAACUUCAUUAGGUAGCAGAAAUACCACAAGGCUUCCAACUGGGGGAAAGCUAAGCAAGCCUGCUUCUGGAGCUCAAACUCCUGGAAGGAAAAAAUGUGAUGCCAGAGGCAACUCCCAUCUGAAUCCCCUACAGGUUGGGAAAGCUGAUGGUGAAGGUUCUGGUCCCUGUAAGAGACACAGAGCUUCCUACCGAGCUUCUCAAUUACAUUUCUGGAGUUAAACUGUUGGCAUGAUCAAGCACAAACAUAAAAAACAGAAGCAGGACA
Molecule: long non-coding RNA, 985 nt
Organism: Anas platyrhynchos (mallard)
Lineage: Eukaryota; Metazoa; Chordata; Aves; Anseriformes; Anatidae
Source: RefSeq, a predicted model, not a curated record